This 2944-nucleotide long non-coding RNA is filed under the name Phascolarctos cinereus (koala). Its description in RNAcentral is "lncRNA (ENSPCIG00000009466.2)". The record is from RNAcentral. Lineage: Eukaryota; Metazoa; Chordata; Mammalia; Diprotodontia; Phascolarctidae.
AGACCCCUACACACAUUACAAGAAAUAUUUUAAACAAUAAAAGAGGAGAAGAAGAAGAGGAAAACAAUGAACCAGACCAGUCAAUGCAUUGAACAAAGUAGGAAAAUAGAGGCAAUAUUGCUUUGCCAGUCCUGGAGGGCAUCUCUUCUCAUUUGUCCUCAUUGGAUCAUGCUUCCUCUUUCAGGGGGGAAAAUGCUUGUAUUGAGCUGAGGAAAUUAAAGAAAAAUUGCUACAGAUACGAAAACAAUGAAGCUCCUACAGUGGACAGCAUCAUUGAAACGAAAGCCAUCACAAAAAAAAAGUAUGUUAAUUUUGAUGUUUCAACUCUGGCAUCUACCUGGAAAACCAGGUAAACUCAAGUACAACUAGUGGGGAUUUAAGAAUGGUAGAAUCUCAAGAAAACAAUCUUGCAGCAUCCUGGUAAAGUCUAAAACAUAACUGUAUCCCAUGUCUGUCCCUGUCAUCCUUUUACUUGGAAUAUACCUAAUGGAGACUAUUAUGCAAACAGGUAAAAAGAGAGGUGAUUUUCAAAUAAUUUUCUCCAAUAACCUGGAGAUGCCUGAAAAGCCUGACAAGUUAAGACUGUCUGAAGAAAUUUUAAAUAAUCACUAUAAAAAGCAUAAUGGCAGGAAUGUUAAAUAGAUUAGUAUAAGGAACAAGAAAAUUUUGGAAAAACUGUGAAUUAAUGUGAGCACAUGGAACCAGAAUAAAAGAGUCUACAAUAUUUGAACCGUCACCCACAAGGAAACAUAUAUGCUUUGAAGUAAGAGGAAUGUUUUACAGAGAGUGAUGGAUAGACAAAACGGUAAAGGGGACACACAAGAGAAUAACUGAUAGGUAGAAUUCAAUGAAUGGAAUCGACUAUACCUAAAUUCAUUCAACUAGAUCAGUGGAAGAAUUGGGAGAGAAGCCAAGAAUCUUGAUAUCCAAAUCCACACUCUCCACUUAAAACACUUAAAAUGUUUAUUUUAUAUUUCAGAGAAACUGAAUUGAAAACACAGGAGCUGAUCAUAACAACAGCCUGUCAAGAGAGAGCACAGAAAUUUUACAAUGAAGUGAAAAAGAUAUUGGCCAUGGAAAAAAUUGAAGUGGAAAGUGGAACUGAAGAGGAAAAUGGUUUUGAUGAUUAUUCAAUUCUGUUAUCUCUCUGGAGAACCAGAGAAGCUGUAUAUAAGAAACAAAGACUGCAAUUCCAAACAGUUUUAGAAGAAAGAAGUCAGACAUUCUUCAAAGAAGUCAAAGAGUUAUGUGCUAUGAGGAGAGAAUUCAAUUCAUGGGAAAACAUUAAUGAGGAAGAAAAUAUCACCAUAAAGGAAAACAUGACUAAAAAGGAAAACAUUUAUGAUGCUUCGACUCUACUAUCUUCCUGGACAAACAGAGAAACUGAAUUCAGGAAACAAGAACUGACAAGAAAAAUCAUUUUGCAAGAGCAAACGCAGGCAUUCCUCACGGACAUCAAAGAGUUGUAUGCCGUGGAAAGUGAUGAACAUUCGGAAGAGGAAAACAUCCUUGAAAUGGAAAGAAUGAUUGAAAAUGAAACCGCUCUUAAUGAGGAAAACAUCACAGAAACAAAAACCACCACUGGGAAGAAAUCUAUUCGUUAUACUGGUUGGACCCUGGCCCGUCUCUGGACAAUCAGACAAAAUGAAAUAAAAAAACAAGAAAUGGCAAGAAAAGCAGCUCUGGAAGAGAAAGCUGAGAAUUACAUCAAAGUAAUCAAAGAGAUAUAUGCAAUGGAAAUCAAUGAUGACAAGGAGAAGAACGAAUUGAAUGCAAGGGAAUACACAAACACUUCUGAAAAGGUACCAGAAGUGGAACAAAAAAUAAGAGAAAAGGAAAAAACCAAAGAAAUAUCAGGAUUCCUGCUGAACAAAAACCUAGAAGAUCCACCCAUAAUAAUUUUAGAAACAGAAGACUCCAAUAAAUCUGACAAUAGGAGUGAGAACAUUGAAACUUUGGAAGCAUCACCAGAGACAAGGUCUGCAUCAUGGAUUCCCAGGUGUUUUCGUGGGUGCUCUUUCUUCAACGUGGAUUUCAGAACCCUCAGGAAAAAAUUCAAAAAGGGACCAAAAGAGAGAAAAGAUCAACAGAAGGAUCAAGGAAAUUUUCCAUCAACUCAAGGGGAAAUAUCGCGCCGUACCAUGGAAAGAUUUCCAGAAACGUACCAUCACAGGAACCCAACCAUCUCAGACUGGACAGAGGAGGACGUGAGUAAUUGGCUCUGCUUCACUGGGAUGGAUUAUUAUUCCAGUCGUGUACACUUCGAUGGCUGGCUCCUGCUUACACAUACAAAGAGAGUCCUAAAGAGCUUUGACAACCAAAAUCGAAAGGAAAAAAAGAUUCUCCUUAAGAAGAUAAAAAAACUCCAACGGCUCGAGGCAGAACUGGAAAGAAGAAAUGCAAAAAGAGUCCUAAUGAGGACGGGCAUAAGAGAGAAGCCCAUCUAUUAGAACUAUUCUCAUUACAUCACAUGAAGCGGCACAAAGACCUGUUACAGUGGAGGGAAAGAAGAGAGGGAGAUGAGCAUUGUUUGAACCUUACUGUCAUCAAAUUUGACUCAAGAAGGGAAUAACAUAGGUUUAGAAAUCUAACUUGUCUAAUAUGCAGUAGGAGGGGAAAGAAAAGGGAGGGGGGAUGGAAGGGACGGAAGAAGUAGUAAAGGAAAAAGGAAAGAAAAGGGAGGGAGCUGAUAGAAGGGGGGGCAGAUCGAGGGAGGCGGUGGUCAAAAGCAAAACUCUGGUGAAGAGGGAAAGGGAGAAACGAGAAAGAAAAGCAUAAAGGGGCAGGGAAUGGGAUGGAGAGAAAGACACUGAUAGUAAUCAUAACUGUGAAUGACAUGAACUCUCCCAUAAAUGGAAGUGGAUAGCAGAAUACCAAAUUAGAAACACUGAAAACCAGAGGAGAGAUUAAUAAAGUUGAAAUUAAGAAAACUAUUGAACUAAUA